AUUGAACGCUGGCGGCAGGCUUAACACAUGCAAGUCGAACGAUGAUUAUCUAGCUUGCUAGAUAUGAUUAGUGGCGGACGGGUGAGUAACAUUUAGGAAUCUGCCUAGUAGUGGGGGAUAGCUCGGGGAAACUCGAAUUAAUACCGCAUACGACCUACGGGUGAAAGGGGGCGCAAGCUCUUGCUAUUAGAUGAGCCUAAAUCAGAUUAGCUAGUUGGUGGGGUAAAGGCCCACCAAGGCGACGAUCUGUAACUGGUCUGAGAGGAUGAUCAGUCACACCGGAACUGAGACACGGUCCGGACUCCUACGGGAGGCAGCAGUGGGGAAUAUUGGACAAUGGGGGCAACCCUGAUCCAGCCAUGCCGCGUGUGUGAAGAAGGCCUUUUGGUUGUAAAGCACUUUAAGCAGGGAGGAGAGGCUAAUGGUUAAUACCCAUUAGAUUAGACGUUACCUGCAGAAUAAGCACCGGCUAACUCUGUGCCAGCAGCCGCGGUAAUACAGAGGGUGCGAGCGUUAAUCGGAAUUACUGGGCGUAAAGCGAGUGUAGGUGGCUCAUUAAGUCACAUGUGAAAUCCCCGGGCUUAACCUGGGAACUGCAUGUGAUACUGGUGGUGCUAGAAUAUGUGAGAGGGAAGUAGAAUUCCAGGUGUAGCGGUGAAAUGCGUAGAGAUCUGGAGGAAUACCGAUGGCGAAGGCAGCUUCCUGGCAUAAUAUUGACACUGAGAUUCGAAAGCGUGGGUAGCAAACAGGAUUAGGUACCCUGGUAGUCCACGCCGUAAACGAUGUCUACUAGCCGUUGGGGUCCUUGAGACUUUAGUGGCGCAGUUAACGCGAUAAGUAGACCGCCUGGGGAGUACGGCCGCAAGGUUAAAACUCAAAUGAAUUGACGGGGGCCCGCACAAGCGGUGGAGCAUGUGGUUUAAUUCGAUGCAACGCGAAGAACCUUACCUGGUCUUGACAUAGUGAGAAUCCUGCAGAGAUGCGGGAGUGCCUUCGGGAAUUCACAUACAGGUGCUGCAUGGCUGUCGUCAGCUCGUGUCGUGAGAUGUUGGGUUAAGUCCCGCAACGAGCGCAACCCUUUUCCUUAUUUGCCAGCGGGUUAAGCCGGGAACUUUAAGGAUACUGCCAGUGACAAACUGGAGGAAGGCGGGGACGACGUCAAGUCAUCAUGGCCCUUACGACCAGGGCUACACACGUGCUACAAUGGUAGGUACAGAGGGUUGCUACACAGCGAUGUGAUGCUAAUCUCAAAAAGCCUAUCGUAGUCCGGAUUGGAGUCUGCAACUCGACUCCAUGAAGUCGGAAUCGCUAGUAAUCGCAGAUCAGAAUGCUGCGGUGAAUACGUUCCCGGGCCU
RNAcentral lists this ribosomal RNA (1355 nucleotides) under uncultured bacterium. RNAcentral describes it as "bacterial SSU rRNA". It matches the Rfam family "Bacterial small subunit ribosomal RNA", at positions 28 to 1381 of the family's 1533-position model. The record is from RNAcentral.